UUUUUUUUUUUAAAUUAAAAAUUAUCAUUUUACUAGUAAGAUUUUACUCAUUACCAGCAAAUAUGGAGAAAUGUUGGGAACUGCUAAUUAGCAAUUUGUGGUUUAGGCACUAUGUAUUGAUUUAGGUUUAAGGAAAUAUAUGGGUUAAUGGAUUUAAGUGAAUUUUCUGAUUGAGGAAUAAAACUGUACUUCCUCAAUUGAAUUGCUGUGGUAUUGUUGCUAAUCGUUUGAUAUUUUCUCUUCACUGAUCGAUAGGAAAUUGGGAAAUUAAUUGUUUCAGGCGUUGGUUUGUUCUUCUUCUUCGAUUCCAAACAGAGAAGGAAGCAAUUUCCUCCUCCACUUUCAAAUGUGUAUAAUAGUUUUGUUAUUAGGUGAAUGCAUCAUUUCUCAAUAGCGUGUACCACAGUACCAGGGAAAUAAGUUGUGGUUUUCCAAUAGCAUUAGCAUGAGGUAGCCCUGUUGCAGUUCAGUAUUCUGAAAGGGUAAUAUUGUUAUUGAAUUUGGUUCUGUUCAUAGGUAUGAUACAUAUUUUUACAAGGUAUUCAAGGUGUAUACACAAUUGUGGAAGUUUCAACAAGAGAAUCGACAGAAGCUCGUGGAAGCUGGGCUUAAGAGAUGGGAGAUUGGGGAAAUU
RNAcentral lists this unclassified non-coding RNA (634 nucleotides) under Hevea brasiliensis (rubber tree). The record is from RNAcentral. Lineage: Eukaryota; Viridiplantae; Streptophyta; Magnoliopsida; Malpighiales; Euphorbiaceae.